AAAAAACUAGGUUGUGCCUCUAUAUAAACAACAGAAUGAGAAACUAAAUCGACCGGAAGUACAACGAUAGGAAAAAAAGAAUAGUGUACCCCCUCCUCAUGGCGCUUCUCAAGAACAUCCCAGGGGUUUUGUGCUUGGCAGCCCUUCUUGUGAUAUCCGCCACCUUCUUAUCAUGUGAUGCAUCCUACGGGGUCAAAGGUAUAUUCCUUUUAUUAUAUUCAUAUUUAUUUUUGCUCUAUACAACGGCCUGGAACAUUUUUUGGAUGAUCAAACAAAUGCAAGCCUCAUGUCAUGUCUCUCUCGAUGUAUAUACCUACAACUUUGGCCAUGGCUAAAUAUAUAUGCUUGGGUGUGCAGAUGGAGAAGGUUUUAACAAGUUCUGUGUGGGUUGGGACCAAGGCUGCAAGGACCCGGUGAAUGGAAUCCCUAGUCAGUGUCAGAUUUACUGCAGAGACAACGGUUUUGUCUUAGAGAAAGGCAAAUGUGCACCGGACAAUGGAAAGCCCAACCGCAUGUGCUGCUGCUAUAAGUAGACACUUCUGUGUGAAUUCGUGAAAGAGUGCAAAACUUUUUCUAUAUGAGAGAUCUCGAAAAAUAAAUUAAUAAAGCAUUGUUUGAUCUAUGUCUAUCAUCAGAAUGACUACUCAGUGAUCCCGGGCAGUGCUACGCAGUACAACAUUCAGCAAUCAACGGCCGUGGAGUAGUUGCGAUCCCUACAACAGCUAAGAGUAUUACAUAGAGUUUUUAUCGAACUUAUAUUAUACGUAGGUAAUAGGAUUUGGGUCUGUCUAGGACACAUCUUAUGUCACAUCUAACCUGAUGUCCACUAUGUUUGUGGUUUUGUUUUCCUAGCUUUUUUUUUCUUGUUGCCGCGUUAUUCGUGGAAGCUUAGAUGUGACAUUCUUAGAAAAUAUCUAGAUGUGAAUUAGACAAACUGAUAGAAUUUUUGAUACCUAUAAUAUACUUGUAGUGACUGAAACUUUGUAGGUGUUAUAUCAGACCACGUUUUUUGCCGUAGGAUUAGAAGAGCGGAGUGUCAGAUUGGAGUCUGAAGCGGGCACGAACCCAACACGAACGUACGAACGGGUUCUUACUUCUUAUACAACGGAAAGGCAGUGACACGUACGAGACCCAACGAGAUCAGGGUAGGUCGCGAAUCAACCUGUGGUUGAGUUGGUUAGAUGGACAGUGGUAUCUCCAACCCACUAAGGUUUGCAUUCUGGUGCUCGCAUUAAUCCUGGAUUUAUUUCAGGAUUUCCGGCGAUGCGCUUUCAGUAGGAGGAGACGUUCCCCUCGACGAUGAGGCGCCUACGGUGACUUCGUAAAUCUCAAAAUGAUAUGCCGGCUCAGUCUUUUGGAGGUGCUCAUAGGGAUAGGGUGUGCGUGUGUGCGUUCAUAGGAAUAAGAGUAUGCGCGUGUAUAUGAGCGUUUGUGUUUGUACUGAUGCUCAGAAAAAAAAAGAGAUCAGGGUAGGUCGAGGGCUGCCGGCACGUCUCGCGCCGUUGCACGUACGCACUUGCGUUUAGCCGAUGGACGAGGGAAUCACAGCUGCUGCAGGGACUUGCCGGCGGACGCCCUGGGGCACAUCAUGGAGCGGCUGCGGCUGCCGCCCAACGCGCGCUGCCCUCUUCGCCUCGUCUGCCGGCAUUGGCGCGACGUCAUCGACCAGCUCUCGGCGAUUGACUUGCGCAGCCGCCCCAAGAUCCUCGCCUUCAGCCCCGAGGGCCUCGCGUACGUCGGCGACGUCGUCCUGCCGCCGGAGGGCGGCGGAGAACCGUCGUGGUCGACGGACCACUCCAUGCCUGCAAUCUACGGUUCCAUGAGUAUGGUCGGCACCUGCAACGGCCUCGUGUGCCUGUGCGAUGACGGGGUGCCCGGCGGCGCCGUCAUGCUGGCCAACCCGUCGACCGGCCAAUCGCUCGCCGUCCCGCCGCUGCCGCUGUCCGACGCCGCCGUCCAGCUGCUGUGGAACAGCACCUGCACCAUGGCGUGGCACCAGACGUACAUCUUAGCGCGGCACCCUGCGACGGGGCGGUACAAGGUCGUGCACGUCCCGCGCCACUUCGACCGGUUCUGGGAGCCCGGCACGGUGCACGUGUUCACGCUGGGGGAGGCGUCGUGGCGGGACGUGCAGGCCGGCCCAGACGCCAGGUGCAUCCACGGCGCCUACCGCCUCGCCGACGUCGACGGCACGGUGUAUUGGGUCGCGGAGACGGAGGACGCCGCGAAGAUCAUGUCCUUCGACCUUGAAGACGAGAGCGUCACUCCCACCUAGCCUCUGCCCGUGCCGGCCCAACCGGGCAACUGUCGCCUGACGAAGGUGCACGGGAGGCUGGGCGUUGCCAUCAUCGGCGACGACUCGCUGACAGUGUGGGUCCUCGAGGACGAGCGGUGGUGUCUCCGGUACGUCGUGGAGGCGCACAGGCUGCGGCAGCAGCAGCCGUGGCUGAGGCGGGACCCCGUGGUGCCGCACUUUGCUCACGGCGACUACAUCUUCAUGCAUCGAGAUCGAGACCGCAAGAUGUACGGGCACAAGGUGAGUGAAGCGGCGAGGUUGCCGGACGGCGUGCUGCAGAUCAGAGACAACAGGGACCUCGACGAGGAAAUACUUUCUCUCCCGUGCCUUAUUGACCGGAUGUUUGCCUACGUCGAGACCAAGGAGCCGUUAAAUGUUUACAAAGCAGCGUUGGUAGGUAACUGACGAUGGAUCUGCAGCUUUUAGGGUCUCUUCGAUUGAAAGGAUUUUUCACAGGAAUUUUAGAGUUCUACUAGAAUCUUAGGAUUUUUUUCUAUGUUGGUUGUUUUGAGUCGUACAGUUAAAUUAUGUAGAAUUUUUUUCUAAAUAUAUUUGGAACCUCAUAUUAAGCGAGCGUCAGCUCAGGCUGUCCCCGGAACGAAUGUGCCCCCCAGGGAGCGUCGAAAGAGCGAAUGAUGCCGUUCUCUGGAGGCGUUCGCUUCAGGGGGGUUCUGCGUGACGGCCAGCUGGGCCAGAAGCCAGGGAGCGCACCAAAAAAGAAGUUGAAACUGGCUAGGCCUAGUUGGUUGUCUUUUCACAAAAAAAAAAAAAAAC
This 3070-nucleotide long non-coding RNA is filed under the name Triticum aestivum (bread wheat). RNAcentral's name for it is "long non-coding RNA (TAES_LNC025332)". Lineage: Eukaryota; Viridiplantae; Streptophyta; Magnoliopsida; Poales; Poaceae. The record is from RNAcentral.